ACCUACGGGAGGCAGCAGUCUAGAGGCUUCGGCAAUGGGGGCAACCCUGACCGAGCGACGCCGCGUGUGGGAUUGAAGGCCUUCGGGUCGUAAACCACUGUCAUUGGGGAAGAAUGCCCGGAUGGUGAAUCCGGGAGGGACGGUACCCAAGGAGGAAGCCCCGGCUAACUCCGUGCCAGCAGCCGCGGUAAUACGGAGGGGGCAAGCGUUGUUCGGAUUUACUGGGCGUAAAGGGUGUGUAGGCGGCCGCGCAAGUCUGGUGUGAAAUCUUCACCGCUUAACGGGAAGAGGUCACUGGAAACUGCGUGGCUCGAGUAUGGUAGAGGCAAGCGGAAUUCCUGGUGUAGCGGUGGAAUGUGUAGAUAUCAGGAAGAACACCGGUGGCGAAGGCGGCUUGCUGGGCCAUCACUGACGCUGAGACACGAAAGCGUGGGGAGCAAACGGGAUUAGAUACCCGUGUAGUCCU
This 466-nucleotide ribosomal RNA is filed under the name uncultured bacterium. RNAcentral describes it as "bacterial SSU rRNA". It matches the Rfam family "Bacterial small subunit ribosomal RNA", at positions 337 to 797 of the family's 1533-position model. The record is from RNAcentral.